This 484-nucleotide ribosomal RNA is filed under the name uncultured bacterium. RNAcentral describes it as "partial 16S ribosomal RNA". It matches the Rfam family "Bacterial small subunit ribosomal RNA", at positions 30 to 507 of the family's 1533-position model. The record is from RNAcentral.
AUUGAACGCUGGCGGCAGGCCUAACACAUGCAAGUCGAGCGGAUGAAGGGAGCUUGCUCCUGGAUUCAGCGGCGGACGGGUGAGUAAUGCCUAGGAAUCUGCCUGGUAGUGGGGGAUAACGCCCGGAAACGGGCGCUAAUACCGCAUACGUCCUGAGGGAGAAAGUGGGGGAUCUUCGGACCUCACGCUAUCAGAUGAGCCUAGGUCGGAUUAGCUAGUUGGUGGGGUAAAGGCCUACCAAGGCGACGAUCCGUAACUGGUCUGAGAGGAUGAUCAGUCACACUGGAACUGAGACACGGUCCAGACUCCUACGGGAGGCAGCAGUGGGGAAUAUUGGACAAUGGGCGAAAGCCUGAUCCAGCCAUGCCGCGUGUGUGAAGAAGGUCUUCAGAUUGUAAAGCACUUUAAGUUGGGAGGAAGGGCAGUAAGUUAAUACCUUGCUGUUUUGACGUUACCAACAGAAUAAGCACCGGCUAACUUCGUG